AAGCGAUGGAGGGCUGGAGGACAGAGGAAGGUCACAAAUCAGGCACUGCCGCUGGCCCGGUGAUUCAGGAGCCAAGAUGGCCAUGGAAGUGUGUCCCCCCGAGUGUACCUUCCCCUGGGAUGUCGUUCUCUGGAAUUUCAUCUCCUCUAUCGGGUUAAGUUGCUGCAUUAAAUCAGGAGAGUGUGGCUACCACCCUUCAUCAAAGAAGGACCAUCACAGGAAACCACAGCUGGACACAGUGCAGGCAUCAACAGAUCGUGAGAAGUCCCUCCUCAGUGGAUAUGAAUUCUAGUGUUCUUAAAACAACACUAAUGGAAGAGGAUUAAAUUAAUUAUACUCUCCAGUUUAUGAUAAAUUAGUAUCACUAUUCUGUGUAAUGA
Long non-coding RNA from Mesocricetus auratus (golden hamster), 380 nucleotides. RefSeq lists it as uncharacterized. NCBI's taxonomy places the organism in Eukaryota, Metazoa, Chordata, Mammalia, Rodentia, Cricetidae. The transcript is spliced from 3 exons. The record is from RefSeq and is a predicted model, not a curated record.